RNAcentral lists this long non-coding RNA (1608 nucleotides) under Homo sapiens (human). Its description in RNAcentral is "non-protein coding lnc-PPT1-4:1". Lineage: Eukaryota; Metazoa; Chordata; Mammalia; Primates; Hominidae. The record is from RNAcentral.
GGGCCCAGGAAGGGCAGAAGUCCCUGGCUAAGCUCCUCUCUGGAAAGAACAGAAGAGUGACCAGUUCCUCUGUCAGUUUGGUCUCAAUGGCAGAGGCCGGUUCCUUUAAGCUGCAGUCCGUAAAGGGUCUUGGAACGACUGGGGGCCAGGAUUCUCUGAGGGCGGGAAUCCGGGCGGCCGUCAGCUCUCGGUGGUGAUCGAGGCCACGCUCCGCCUGUCUCUGGGCGUGCAUACCUCGGUUUCCCCGUUUGUGACGUGGGAAGGCAAUUAGUCUGGACAUUGUUGUGGGAGGACUUGCGGAGACUGGGCGCAGGGCGUGGGGGUCAGUGAGGGCGCGGUGGGUCAGCCCCAGCCCGGCUGGCAGUCGCGGGGCUGGGAAGGUAGGGAACCCUCCGCUCUCACCCCACUUCCUGUUUGGUCGGUGUGUUCUGUGACCAUAGAUGGUCAAGUCUGGGGCCGCGCGGAAGCCUCCGCCCUGUGGUUUUGGAGCCCUUCCUCCCGGCGCGCAGGGUGUGGUCCCCGAGAAUAAGAUGAGCAGAAUUAAAGCAGAUCCUGCACCCACUCUGCUGAAAUCCGGCUUCUGAGGCAGCCUCGCCCAGGGCUGGGUGGGCUCAGGCGGCUGCUACUCGGUUCAGGGGAGGUUACGCACGGUGGCUGCCGCGCGCAGGGGAGGCUUCGCUUCCGUACUCCUUGGGCCGGGAGAUCCGAUCUUUGUUCCCUCAAGACUCACACUCUCCAACCGGUCAUUAUCCUCCCACAAAGAUUUAUUUCUAGAAAAAAUUGGCAAGUGCCACAGUUCCCGCCCCUUCAGCUGAACGACUGUGACAGCUCCGUGUUUCAAGUUGAAUGCAGGCGUUAUGUGCCAGAGUCAAUCAUUCAACAAAUAAAGUUCUUAAAAUAACAGCUACCAUUUACUGCACGCUGACUACUUGCCAGGCCCAUGCUGAGUUCUUCAAGCGUAUUUUCAUUUACUCCUAAUAGCAACUCUCGGUGGUAGGUACCAUUAUGCCCUCUAGUUUUCAAAUGAGGAAGCUGAAUAACUUGCCAAGGUCAGAAAGUAACUGUUGAAACUUUGAAGGAAACACAUCUGUCUGACUCUAAAUCCCAUGAGCUUAAUUAGCCCCUGUGAUAGACCAUACUGCAGACAUUUGAGGCAGAUUUGAGGUGGUGAAUGCCUCUGGAUCUGGAGACACUGGGUUCCAGUGCUGGCAUAGGCCCUCUACUAGGGGUCAGACUUUGGUCAGGUUACUUUGGACGGGUUACUGGGCCUCUUCCUAACUUUAUGGCUCCCAGCAUGUUUAAAAGAACAUGACAACAUGAAAAAAUAUGGUAUAAAAGUCAUAGUAUAUUUUAAAUAUUGACAUUUAACUAAAAACACUGUCUCACACACACACAAACUCUAACUUUAUUUGGACAUAAUCUUUGACUCUGCAUUUAGUUAUUCUAAAUCUCUUUCUGGAUUAGAGACAGAAGGAACAUAGACCAUACACGCAUUCUAGAGGAAGAGGAGAGAGAAGAGGAAGCAGGAAGGAGAAUGAAGAAAGUUUCCUCAUCAGUCUCUCUUGCAGAUAACUAUGGCCGUGUGCCUGAGAUCUGGCCAAUGGAAUC